AUAAAUAAAAUCAGCUUCUUUAUGAGGUCACUGUGGGCAUAUUAGGCAGGAUAAUUCUUUGUUGUACUAGGUUAUCCUGCUCAGUGUAGGAUAUUCAGCAUCUCUGGCUUCUAGACACUAAAUGACAGUAGCGCCUCCCUCUUGUCAUUAUGACAAUCAAAAAUUUCCCCAAACACCCCUACAAGGGCUGAAGGGCUGCACUGUCCUCCUGAUUGAAAACCACUGGUAAUGGGAAAAAAAUAAACACAUCACUUCCAUAUCACACAAUACGAGGUUGGCUAAAUAUUUGUGUUCAUUGCUAUGGGAACACAGAAGAGGGGCACCUAACCAAAUCUGGUGGUUCUCACAGGCAUUUAAAUAAGGGUUAUUCCUAUCAAAAUAAUCCAAUAAUACCAUUCUAUUCAAAAUAUUUAAGAAAUUCUUUUCUGGAUUACUUUUAGAGCCUGAGUCAUGUUCUUUUGAAUUUGUUCAACGUAGGAAACUUUCUUCCUUUGGAAACAUCCCAAAGUUGCUUGUAGCCAAGUCUUGUGAAUAAGAUGAGUGAACAAGCUGGACAAUAUUAUUUUUAGUUCUAUAGGUCAAAGGUCUGACACAGAUAUCAGUGGACGAAAAGUGAAGUGUCAGCAGGACUGCAUUUUUUCUGGAAGACUAUAGAUAACAAAUGUAGGAGGAAGAAAUUGAGGGACUCAUGGAACAUCCAAGAGGACAUGUGAAGUGACCAGUUUGAAUAUCCUGGAGUUCGAGAGAGAUGUGCGGGCUGGAGAUACAGAUUUAAGAGUCAUCAAUACAUAAGUGAUUCUUGGAGUUACAGGAAUUGAUGAGACCAGGCAGGGAAGAUGUAUGUGUAUCAUUUGUGUGUUUUCCUUUCUAGUUAUUUUCUUCUAAUAUAUCUUUAAUUAUAAUAAUCAGGUGUACAUAAUUUUCCUUUUCCUUUUUGUAUUUGACAUUAUACCAAAAGCUUUUGUCAUGUUUCACAGAGUUUUCAAAGCAGACAUACCAGUGGCUGAAUAAAAACACAUCAAAGGAUAUGCUAUAGUUAUAGUUGACUUUAGUUCUGAUAAACAUUUUUAUUCAUAGUUUUCCCCCCACUUUUUUUUUUUUUUCUCCUUAGGACAGAUUCUCAGAAAUGAGAAUAUAUUUGUCUGUUAUAUAGGUAAUAUGUGUUAUACAUGUAUAUCCAAAUUACAUUCCAAACUGGUUGUACCAGUUUUUCCUUUAUACAAAACAAUGCAUAAGAAUACAAGUUUAGAGGAGGCUGGCUGGCUCAGUGGGUGGAAUGUGUGACAUUUGAUCUUGAGGCUACAGGUUUGAGCCCACAUUAGGUGUAGAGAUUACUUAAAAUUAAAUUGUAUUAAAAAAUACAAGUUUAACUAGGUACUUGCCAUAAUUUGGUAUUAUAUA
Long non-coding RNA from Canis lupus familiaris (dog), 1401 nucleotides. RefSeq lists it as uncharacterized. The transcript has 3 exons. The record is from RefSeq and is a predicted model, not a curated record. NCBI's taxonomy places the organism in Eukaryota, Metazoa, Chordata, Mammalia, Carnivora, Canidae.